This 492-nucleotide ribosomal RNA is filed under the name uncultured bacterium. RNAcentral describes it as "partial 16S ribosomal RNA". It matches the Rfam family "Bacterial small subunit ribosomal RNA", at positions 29 to 507 of the family's 1533-position model. The record is from RNAcentral.
AGUGAACGCUGGCGGUAGGCCUAACACAUGCAAGUCGAACGGCAGCACAGUAAGAGCUUGCUCUUACGGGUGGCGAGUGGCGGACGGGUGAGGAAUACAUCGGAAUCUACUUUUUCGUGGGGGAUAAUGUAGGGAAACUUACGCUAAUACCGCAUACGACCUACGGGUGAAAGCAGGGGAUCUUCGGACCUUGCGCGAUUGAAUGAGCCGAUGUCGGAUUAGCUAGUUGGCGGGGUAAAGGCCCACCAAGGCGACGAUCCGUAGCUGGUCUGAGAGGAUGAUCAGCCACACUGGAACUGAGACACGGUCCAGACUCCUACGGGAGGCAGCAGUGGGGAAUAUUGGACAAUGGGCGCAAGCCUGAUCCAGCCAUACCGCGUGGGUGAAGAAGGCCUUCGGGUUGUAAAGCCCUUUUGUUGGGAAAGAAAGGCAGCAGGUUAAUACCCCGCUGUUCUGACGGUACCCAAAGAAUAAGCACCGGCUAACUUCGUG